This 463-nucleotide ribosomal RNA is filed under the name uncultured bacterium. RNAcentral's name for it is "bacterial SSU rRNA". It matches the Rfam family "Bacterial small subunit ribosomal RNA", at positions 28 to 508 of the family's 1533-position model. The record is from RNAcentral.
GAUGAACGCUGGCGGCGUGCCUAAUACAUGCAAGUCGAACGAGGUGCUUUUGUAGCAAUACGAGAGUAUCCUAGUGGCGAACGGGUGAGUAACGCGUUGGUGACCUACCCCAAAGUGUGGGAUAACAGUCCGAAAGGAUUGCUAAUACCGCAUGUGGUCUUCGGAUUUAGAAACUGAUGACUAAAGGAGCAAUUCGCUUUGGGAGGGACCUGCGUCCCAUCAGCUAGUUGGUGAGGUAAUGGCUCACCAAGGCUACGACGGGUAGGGGACCUGAGAGGGUGGCCCCCCACAAUGGAACUGAAACACGGUCCAUACACCUACGGGUGGCAGCAGUAGGGAAUAUUGCACAAUGGGCGAAAGCCUGAUGCAGCAACGCCGCGUGUGCGAUGAAGCCUCGGGUCGUAAGCACUUUUCUGAGGAUGAGAAAGACAGUACUCAGAUAGUUCUCGGGCUAACUUACUUG